GGACCAUAGCUCAGUGCUGGAGCAUCUGUCUUCCAUGCAGAAGGUCCCAGUUUCAAUCGCUGGCACCUCCA
This is a non-coding RNA of Podarcis lilfordi (Lilford's wall lizard), 71 nucleotides long. Lineage: Eukaryota; Metazoa; Chordata; Lepidosauria; Squamata; Lacertidae. The record is from the annotation of a GenBank genome assembly.